RNAcentral lists this transfer RNA (72 nucleotides) under Vicugna pacos (alpaca). RNAcentral describes it as "tRNA-Ala (AGC) (tRNA-Ala-AGC-574-1)". It matches the Rfam family "tRNA". Rfam says of the family: Transfer RNA (tRNA) molecules are approximately 80 nucleotides in length. Their secondary structure includes four short double-helical elements and three loops (D, anti-codon, and T loops). The record is from Rfam by way of RNAcentral. Lineage: Eukaryota; Metazoa; Chordata; Mammalia; Artiodactyla; Camelidae.
GGGGGUAUAGUUCAGUGGUAGAGCACAUGCUUAGCAUGCAUGAGGUCCUGAGUUCAAUCCCCAGUACCUCCA